UCCAUUUGGCAUGAUGAGUUGUACAAUGUAAAGCAAUUAUCUGAUGCUUCUCCAAAUGGGGAUGAGGGGGUUCUUUACAUUCGACUUGCUGCAAAAGAGUUGCAAAAUUCACAAAGGAAGAUGAGUGGAAAAAUAAUUGGUGUUGCCAUUGGUGCGAGCAUUGGCGUUUUGUUUUUGAUGAUCCUUCUACUGAUAGUUUGGAAGAGUAAAGGGAAAUGGUUUGCUUGCACACAGGAAAAGCCUGAGGAUGGUAUUGGGAUCACUGCAUUUCGAUAUACUGAUCUGCAACGCGCAACUAAAAACUUUUCAAAUAAGUUGGGGGGAGGCAGUUUUGGUUCUGUGUUCAUGGGGUACCUAAACGACUCUACCAUCGCAGAGAAAAUGCUUGAUGGAGCCCGUCAAGGAGAGAAGCAAUUCAGGGCUGAAGUAAAUUCAAUUGGAAUCAUUCAACAUAUUAACUUAGUUAAACUGAUUGGGUUUUGUUGUGAAGGUGAUAAUAGGUUACUUGUGUAUGAAUACAUGCCAAACUGCUCCCUUGAUGUGUGUUUAUUCGAGGCUAAUGAUAUAGUUUUGGAUUGGACUACUAGGUACCAAAUUGCCAUUGGAGUUGCCAGAGGCCUUGCCUAUUUGCAUGAUAGUUGUCGGGAUUGCAUCAUACAUUGUGAUAUCAAGCCAGAGAAUAUACUUCUUGAUGUGUCUUACAUGCCUAAAAUUGCAGAUUUUGGAAUGGCGAAGAUGUUGGGGAGAGAAUUUAGUCGUGCUAUGACUACAAUGAGAGGAACAAUUGGAUACAUAGCUCCUGAAUGGAUUAGUGGAACAGUUGUUACAUCCAAAGUAGAUGUUUAUAGCUACGGGAUGGUUUUGUUUGAAAUCAUAUCAGGAAGGAGGAACCGAAGUCAUGAACAUUUCAUGGAUGGUGAUUAUUCCUUCUACUUUCCCAUGCAAGUUGCACGCAAGCUUCUCAAAGGAGAGAUUGGAUGUCUUGUGGAUGCCAAUUUGGAAGGUGAUGUUAACCUCAUGGAGGUUGAAAGAGCUUGCAAAAUUGCAUGUUGGUGCAUUCAAGAUCACGAAUUUGAUCGGCCAACAAUGGCCGAGGUGGUACAGUCCCUUGAAGGUCUACUUGAGCUCAACAUGCCUCCACUGCCAAGACUACUAAGGCAGCGUUCGUUUGGACGACAUUGAGGGAGAAAGCACCUCGUUUUCCGCACGCACGCUUUACAAACUAUUAAACGGUGUGUUUUUUUAAAAAUUUUCUAUAGGAAAGUUGCUUUAAAAAAUCAUAUUAAUCCAUUUUUGAAAUUUAAAAUAGUUAAUACUCAAUUAAUCAUGAGCUAAUGGCUCACCUCGUUUUGCGUAUCUUCCCAAUCUCCUCAAUCCCCUUCUCCUCAAACACACCCUAAAUGCUAUCACAGGAGGAUCACACUCGAUGACAACACAAUAUUUUGAUUCACUAUAAAUCUGUAUACUGAUUCCCAAUUUCAAGUUAUGUAUCAGAACAUUAUAUAUCAUCUUGCCCUUUAAGAAAAGUAGGCAUAAGAUGUAAGAUCUCUAAGAGAUCAUGUCUUGUAUUUGAAUGAACUAAGUGUCGUAACAUGUAAUUAAGAUCUCUAUACCCGAGAAGGAACCAGCCUUACUAACAAAAUAUACUUGGUUUCUGUUGUCUCUGUGAUAUGUAAGAUCUGUAGGUAUCAGUGUGCCCCCAUACAAUUGUCAUAUGAUGUUUUUGAAAAACACAGGCGCGACUGAAUUGUCAGUUCAGAGUGGAUUGUUGAGCCUAACAUUGGCGAAUGUGUGACAUCCUGACAGUUAUGUUCAAAUUAUGCACACAUCGGCUAUAUAUCACCUAUAUAUACGAGGCAUAAUUGUUCACUCAAACAAAAGGGAGAAGCCUGGCUGCUAGCCUGAAACUUGUUUUUUCAAGGGUAGGCACAUUAAUUUGGCAACUACAACCCAAGAACCUUUUUGUUGAGAAUAUGCAAAAGAUGUGCACAUCAUUGUAUUAAGAUACAAGAGUUUCAUUACAAACCUUGCUAGAUAGUGGUAUAGAUAUGUGUGUGUACAUGGUAUUUAGCUGAUAUUUAUGUAAAUUCGUGGAAAUUGGAAGCCAUAAGAAAUAAGACUGUUUUCACACCCAGCCAAUACAGUACUUGUAGCUUGCAAUAGUGCCAAAGAUUUGUUCAAGAUUCUUUCAGAUCAGUACUAACAAUAUAUGAUAGCUUGUGCAAGUUGAAUCUUUUGUCUUGGCCAAUAGGACCUUUGCACCACUAUCCCCACGGCAGGAUAUUUUUUCCAUUUUCUAGUCAAGUCAAGCCACUGUCAUUCGUCACCUAAAAUUUCUAUACACGCCGUGGAUGUUUCAAAAAGAUCUUACAUCACCGUACAGACCCUUUCGACUAUAUACCAUUUUGCUCUCCAUCAUUAUAUACAAGUUGCUAGUUUUUCUUUUGUCCUCAUUUCCCUACUAUAAAUGAAAGCAGAACUGAGAAAUGAUCACCAAUCCUACAGUUUGUAACUAUAGCUCUCCUCAUUUUUAUAUUACUAUUAUUCUUCCUACGUAUACGCAUCACAGAAAGUUCUACCAUGACAGACACCAUCUCAGUUGGGAAAGCAUUUGACGAAACCGACAAGCUCGUCUCAAAAAUUGGCAGGUGUGCACUUGGCUUCUAAGAGACUGGUAGAAAAGCAUCUAAAAAAAUAGCAAGUGGUACUUAGGAAUAUGGUUCAAUCAGGUUCCCAAGCUAAGUCCUGCAUAGGUUGCAGACAGGGAUAAGCCAAUUGAUGAUCCCACAGCAGUGGAGCUAACAAUCUCCAGGAUGGUAAUCUUGCUGUCUUAAACCAGUCAGCAAAGACCAUCAUUUGGUCUACCCAAGCUAAAAUCACUACCAAUAACACCAUUGCUACGCACUUGAGUAGUGGAAAUAAAUCUCAUCCUAACAAACCCUUCAAACUCUUUAGAAGUUUCUCGGUGGAGCUUUGACUAUCCCACAGAUACAUAUUUCCCUAGGGCAAAGUUUGGAUGGAACAAGGUCACCGGCCUAAACCAUCAUAUUAUUUCUUGGAAAAACUCAAGAGACCCAGCUAUCGGUGUGUAUUGCAAUGAGUUAGACCCUACUGGUGUUGAUCAGACUAGCCUUUCGCCAUUGAAACUCCGAUUCCUCUGUUCUUCAGUUUCGUCAGGUUACUGUAGCAAUCUGAAAUUCUCGCUUCAGAAAUCAGAACGUGCGAGUGAUACACAGAGCUGAGUGGGGAGGAUUGAGAGAUAGGUUAGCUAAUCACAACACGGGGCACGGUAUAAACUUCGGCCAACGACAACCGCGGUUAAUGCCGUCCGAAGUGGAACCAUAAUCCUGAUCUCGUGAUCUCUACUCUCUAGAGCGCUAAUUAAUUUCUACCGGAAGUUGAACCCUAGCCAUCCCAAACAUGCUAUAUCCGUCUCUCGAUUCGCUCGAUCGGCGACAGCGACACUCGCAGGGGCACUGAGAAGAGGGGUGACGAGACCCAUACCUUAGCCGCGGAGAGGCUCCGCUCCCGUUACUCUCCAUCUCCGUCGGGGGCCGCCGGUGCCGGCGAGGGUCGCGGCGGCGAGACGGCGACGGCUGGCCGCCACACAACCCAAGGAGACGACGAAGAUAAUGCGAGAGAGAUAU
RNAcentral lists this long non-coding RNA (3647 nucleotides) under Oryza sativa (Asian cultivated rice). RNAcentral describes it as "long non-coding RNA (OSAT_LNC000773)". Lineage: Eukaryota; Viridiplantae; Streptophyta; Magnoliopsida; Poales; Poaceae. The record is from RNAcentral.